Molecule: ribosomal RNA, 255 nt
Filed under: uncultured bacterium
Lineage: Bacteria
Description: partial 16S ribosomal RNA
Rfam family: Bacterial small subunit ribosomal RNA
Source: RNAcentral
UAGCGAAGGGGGCUAGCGUUGCUCGGAAUCACUGGGCGUAAAGGGUGCGUAGGCGGGUCUUUAAGUCAGGGGUGAAAUCCUGGAGCUCAACUCCAGAACUGCCUUUGAUACUGAGGAUCUUGAGUAUGGGAGAGGUGAGUGGAACUGCGAGUGUAGAGGUGAAAUUCGUAGAUAUUCGCAAGAACACCAGUGGCGAAGGCGGCUCACUGGCCCAUUACUGACGCUGAGGCACGAAAGCGUGGGGAGCAAACAGGG